This 74-nucleotide transfer RNA is filed under the name Candidatus Parvarchaeum acidophilus ARMAN-5. It matches the Rfam family "tRNA". Rfam says of the family: Transfer RNA (tRNA) molecules are approximately 80 nucleotides in length. Their secondary structure includes four short double-helical elements and three loops (D, anti-codon, and T loops). Further hydrogen bonds mediate the characteristic L-shaped molecular structure. tRNAs have two regions of fundamental functional importance: the anti-codon, which is responsible for specific mRNA codon recognition, and the 3' end, to which the tRNAs corresponding amino acid is attached (by aminoacyl-tRNA synthetases). tRNAs cope with the degeneracy of the genetic code in two manners: having more than one tRNA (with a specific anti-codon) for a particular amino acid; and 'wobble' base-pairing, i.e. permitting non-standard base-pairing at the 3rd anti-codon position. The record is from Rfam by way of RNAcentral. RNAcentral also lists the same sequence under 3 other names. Lineage: Archaea; Nanobdellati; Candidatus Parvarchaeota.
GGUCUGGUAGCUUAGCCCGGUGGAGCGUUCGACUGAUAAUCGAAAGGUCGGGAGUCCAAAUCUCCCCCAGACCA